GAUGAACGCUAGCGGCAGGCUUAACACAUGCAAGUCGAGGGGUAACAGGGUGCUUGCACCGCUGACGACCGGCGCACGGGUGCGUAACGCGUAUAGAACCUACCUUUUACAGGGGAAUAGCCCAGAGAAAUUUGGAUUAAUGCCCCAUAGUAUUAUAGAAUGGCAUCAUUUUAUAAUUAAACAUUUAUGGGUAAAAGAUGGCUAUGCGUUCUAUUAGCUAGAUGGUAAGGUAACGGCUUACCAUGGCAACGAUAGAUAGGGGUCCUGAGAGGGAGAUCCCCCACACUGGUACUGAGACACGGACCAGACUCCUACGGGAGGCAGCAGUGAGGAAUAUUGGACAAUGGAGGCAACUCUGAUCCAGCCAUGCCGCGUGCAGGAAGACGGUCCUAUGGAUUGUAAACUGCUUUUAUACAGGAAGAAAUAAUCCCUCGUGAGGGAUCUUGACGGUACUGUAAGAAUAAGCACCGGCUAACUCCGUGCCAGCAGCCGCGGUAAUACGGAGGGUGCAAGCGUUAUCCGGAAUCAUUGGGUUUAAAGGGUCCGUAGGCGGACUAAUAAGUCAGGGGUGAAAUCCAACAGCUUAACUGUUGAACUGCCUUUGAUACUGUUAGUCUUGAAUUAUAUGGAAGUAGAUAGAAUAUGUAGUGUAGCGGUGAAAUGCUUAGAGAUUACAUAGAAAUACCGAUUGCGAAAGGC
RNAcentral lists this ribosomal RNA (699 nucleotides) under Lutibacter sp. RNAcentral describes it as "bacterial SSU rRNA". It matches the Rfam family "Bacterial small subunit ribosomal RNA", at positions 28 to 722 of the family's 1533-position model. The record is from RNAcentral. Lineage: Bacteria; Pseudomonadati; Bacteroidota; Flavobacteriia; Flavobacteriales; Flavobacteriaceae.